CACAAUUGACAAGCUUGAUAAAGACAUAGUCAUUAGGUAAUAGUCACAAUUCUAAACAUAAAUGUGUAUAAAAGCAUUAAAAGUACUUGUGGAAUCAAAUUUCUUUGUACCGAUGACCAACUAAUAGACAAAUGAGCAAUAACACAACCUAUGGUAUGCUGUACCGAUCAGUACGUGCAUACCAUACCGUACUGAUACCAAACUAGUAUGUAGUACAAGGGUUGUACCAAGUGUCCAUAUGCCAAACCGACUCUUGUAUUGGGCCUACUGACACUGCACUAAGAUGUUACGGUAUAGGGUCCGGUACCGAGAUGGUGAACCUUUCUACAAUCAUAGCUGCAAAAUUGUAAAUUGUAAUCACUAAUCAUUGUUCUGCAGGUAAAAAAUCUGUAUAUAGGGUGAUCCACUACUUCAGCAUUUGGUUGUUCAUUCUUAACAUGUUUUAUCUAGGUGUUGAUGUAAUUUUGCAGUGGAAACUUUUCAAUAUGGGUUAUAUUAUUGCUAUACAUGCUUCAAAAUGUUUUAGAAAAAU
This 532-nucleotide long non-coding RNA is filed under the name Phoenix dactylifera (date palm). RNAcentral describes it as "long non-coding RNA (PDAC_LNC022377)". Lineage: Eukaryota; Viridiplantae; Streptophyta; Magnoliopsida; Arecales; Arecaceae. The record is from RNAcentral.